Oncorhynchus tshawytscha (Chinook salmon) is the source of this 5372-nucleotide long non-coding RNA. The record is from Ensembl. Lineage: Eukaryota; Metazoa; Chordata; Actinopteri; Salmoniformes; Salmonidae.
GUGGGCUAGUGGACAAGAUAUAGUGUGGCAGUACCUGUGGAACUGUGACUCACCUGAAGCUAGGCAUACUUGGCAUGAUGCGGCUUAUUGUCUCCGUGACACUGGCCUUCCUCUGGGCAGCAUAGACCAGACCCCCAAGGAGAAGUACUAUCAGUACAGUCACCCCGAUGGCUAUACCCACUGGGAGGGAGAGAAUGAGAGAGAGAGAGAGUGAAAGAGAAGGGAGAGAAGGAUAUGAGGUGAAAGGGAGAAAGACAGAGACAAAGGGGAGACGGAAAGACAUUGGCAUCUUGUGGUAUGGAAAAAAAUGUAUGAACAAAAUAACGAUGGAUCAUGGAUGAACUGUAGCAUGUACCUGAAGAUGCGACCACCCCAAAUAUGUUUAUCUCGCAAAAGUCUCCCUGCCAUUCUGGAGUACAUUUGAGGAAAAAAAUGUAACCAAUGUUAUACAGAGAGGGGUAACACAGGCAGGGCUCGUACGCUAUCCAUAAUAAGGACAGAGUCACACGUUAUGUUCAGGUUAUUUGUUGAAUUUAAGACUUUAAUGCCACUUGGAAUGCAAAUCAAUACCAAUUUUGAGGUUUGCAAGCACCACACACCUGCUAAUAUUCCACUCCAUGUUGGCAAAAAGUAGUAUUUUUAUGUUUGAAUUUCAAAGGCUAUAACCUACAGUACAUGGCUCAUAAUAUUAUCAGGCAGGUGUGCUAUUUUAGUAAUGCGCAUUCUCCUGUAGCCUAACGGAUGUAGUAGCAUAGUGGCUAGGAUAUAGAUGGCUGAAGCAUGGGGUUGCCCAUCUGCAUUUGUUUAGGCUACCCCAAAUGGCCAAAUCAUUAACUAAAUCACAAACUCUAGGCCUAAGUGUUCAGAAUUUUGGCUUCGAUACCAAUAUCAAGUUUUGUAUAAUGAUGCUCAAUAUCAUAACGAAACCACUGUGAAAAUGCCUUAAAGUCAAAUAUACAGCUAUGUUACUGUAUAAAACACGUGGUCAACUCUCCAUCUGGAAAUCCAAGCCACUGGGUGUGCAGGCUUUUGAUCCUGCACUGCUCAAACACACCUGAGUCAGCUUAACAAGGUCCUGUUGAGCAGAUAGUGUGUUAGAGUUGAGGGUGGAACAAAAGUCUACACAACCAGUAGCUCUCUUGGAGGUAUUAUGCUAUACCGUUAGAACAUUAGCCUACAACCAAAAAGCCUAAUCAAAUAAUUCCCUUGUUCAGUGAAUCAGGUAUCAAAUGGCUAUACUUUGAAGCAAGGUAGCUCUAGACUGAGUUUUUCCAGUGCCAAGUAAGACAUGAAAGAAGUUGAAUCUAAAAUGUUAAUGGAAUGCAUGAUGGGUAUUUUGAUUUGUAAUGUUUUGUGCAUAUUGACCGGGGGCAAUUGUAUGAUUUAAACAGUACAAAUACAACCUACGCAGAUUGCUCAAGAUGAUGAAUAUAGGGACAGAGUGGAGAAAGAGGUGGAUACGAGGUGCAUGUGAAGGGCUUCUAAUGAUCACGGAUUACAACCAACGCCGCCCUACAGUACAAGCUAUACAGCUUUUUCUCACGCUUUAAGCAAAACGACUCUGAGUUGCUGAGUAGAGCCCUUGAUGACAACAAGGGCUAUGUGGUUACGGUCUUCACGGAGGACGUAUACAAGUCAUUCAAGCGUGUUAACCCUCUCAAGGCUGCCGGCCCAUACGGCAUCCCUAGCCGUGCCCUCAGAACAUGUGCAGACCAGUUAGCUGUUGAUGGAGCCGACAGACACGACAGCUCUGCUUCUAGCUCCUAAGCAAAUCUGCAGUGUUUUUUUUCUUUCUGUGUUAUUUCUUACGUUAAUAGCCCAGAAUAUUUUUUCUGGUAUUACAUACAGCCGGAAAUCAGAGGGCGGUUUUGGAUAUCAGAGGGCGGUAACUCACCAGUAUUACGACCAGGAAUACAAAUUUUCCGAAUUGGAUCCUUCGUUCGUACCCCCCCAGGGCAAUUGAACUUAUUCCAGAGGCUGCUUCAAGAUGCCGCCAGCGGAGAAGAGGUAUUCGGAGUAGACUUCUAGUCCAACUCAGGAGGCGUGCACACCAUCCACCGCUUCCGAGUAUAUUACUCGCUAAUGUUCAGUCUUGGACAACAAUAUAGACAAGCUCAGGGCAAGGAUCUCCUUCCAGAGAGGCAUCAGGGACUGUAACAGUCAGUUUCAUGGAAUCAUGACUCUCUCGGGAUAUACUGUCCCCGUCCAUACAGCCAGCUCGGUUCUCAGUUUACCCAAAACAAAAACCGUGGAUAGAUGGCAGCAUUCGUGCAAAAUUGAAAGCGCGAACCACCGCAUUUAACCAUGGCAAGGUGACUGGGAAUAUGAUUGGAUACAAACAGUGUAGUUAUUCCCUCCGUUAGGCAAUCAAACAAAGCAAAACGUCAGUACAGAGACAAAGUGGAGUUGCAAUUCAACGGCUCAGACACGAGACGUAUGUGGUAGGGUUUACAGACAAUCACGGAUUACAAAGGAAAAACCAGCCACGUCACGGACACCGAUGUCUUGCUCCCAGACGAGCUAAACACCUUCUUCGCCCGUUUUGAGGAUAACACAGAGCCACCGACGCUGCCCGCUGACUGUGGGCUCUCGUUCUCCGUGGCCGACGUGAGUACGACAAUUAAGCGUGUUACCCUUUGCAAGGCUGCAGGCCCAGACGACAUCCCUAGCCGCUUCCUCACGAGCAGGCGCAGACCAGCUGGCUGUAGUGUUUACAAACGUACUCAAUCUCUCCCUAUCCCCGUCUGCUGUCCCCACUUGCUUCAAGAUGUCCAGCAUUGUUCCUGCACCCAAGAAAGCAAAGGUAACUGAUCUAAAUGACUAUCGCCCCGUAGCACUCACUUCUGUCAUCAUGAAGUGCUUUGAGAGGCUAGUUACCUGACACCCUAGACCCACUUCAAUUUGCUUACCGCCCCAAUAGAUCCAGCAAAGCUGUCAUCAAGGCGAAGAGUGGCUACUUUGAAAAAUCUAAAAUAUGAUUAACACUUUUUUGGUUGCUACAUGAUUCCAUAUGUGUUAUUUAAUAGUUUUGAUGUCUUCACUGCAAUGUAGAAAAUAGUAAAAAUAAAGAAAAACCCUUGAAAUAGUAGAUGUGUCCAAACUUUUGACUGGUACUGUAUGUGAGAAUACUUUUUAUCGACUACAGCUCGGCCUUCAAAACCAUUGUGCCCACUAAGCUCACCACAAAGCGCACAGCCCUGGGACUGAACUCUUCCCUAUGCAACUGGGUCCUGGAAUACCUGACGGGCUGCCCCCAGAUGAUGAAGGUAGGCAACAUUACCUCCUCCACAUGGGGGCCCCACAAGGGUAUGUCCUCAGUCCCCUCCAGUACUCCCUGUAUACCCACGACUGCAUGGCCUCACACAGUUCCAACUCCCUCAUCAAGAGUGCUGACGACACGACAGUAGUAGGCCUGAUUACCAACAACGAUGAGAUGGCCUACAGGGAGGAGGUAGGCACUGACUGUGUGGUGCCAGGUAAAAAUCCUAAAGUCAGCAAAACAAAGGAGCCGAUUGUGGACUUCCGGAGGAACCCGGCUGGGCACGCCCCCCAACCUCAUCAGUGGGGCCGCUGUGAAGACUGUCAAAAAUUUCAAGUUCCUCAGUGUACACAUCUCCAAAGAGCUGAAAUGGUCAAACCACACUAACACUGUGGUGAAGAAGGAACGACAGCUAACCUCAGGAGGCUGAAGAAAUUUGGCCUGUCCCAUCAGGCCCUCACAUCAAAAACAUACAGUCGGACUACAUCACAGUCUGGUACGACGACUCCACCCUCACUGACCGCAAGGCUCUUCUGCGUUCAGCUGCGUUCAGCUGGUAUGCUCAGCUGAACGCACCAUGGGUUGUUACACUCCCAUAAAGCUGAGACUCUCCUCUUUUUUUAACAACAGUAUCAGUAGUUAUUUUUAAAAAAACUGUCUUUCACACAAUUACAUUUUGAAAUGUUGCUCAACUGUCAGUAUGCUUGCACGUACAGAAUACAUCUCUCCCUUCACUCCAUGUUUAAAUAGGUGAGCGGAAGUGAGAGCCAGGACAAAACAGGGACAGGGCAGAUACAUACAUACUUUCAUUGCAGGAAGCAGAUUAAUUAAAGCACAUUAUUGUUGACCAAAUAAUGGCUUUUAGAGCCAAAACAUUUGCAGGAACUUGUGUAGCCUAAUCACCGAAAUGACAGAUGUACGCACAUUUGCUUCGAUAAGAGGGCAAUGUUCGUGUUGUCUAUCAAAUUGUAUAGGCUUAUUAAGCUACUAUUGGCUACUAUUGCUACUUAUUAGGCUACUUAUUAUUGCUCUCAUCUCUCUUCUCUGGCAACGGACCGACUCUCACUGGCACACGCACCUGAUGUGCGCACACAGACAUGUGGUUGGAUAGCUCUUCAACAUCUUCGAAAGUGUGCCUCAGGUAUUAUUUGAUCAAUUUUGUGUAUUUUUUUUUUGCAGUGGUGGCAACAAUUAAAACCUCUACAGGAUCGGACGGUUGAGCUAACGUAGGCUAAUGCGAUUAGCAUAAGGUUGUAAGUAACAAGAACAUUUCCCAGGACAUAGACAUAUUUGAUAUUGGCAGAAAGCUUAAAUUCUUGUUAAUCUAACUGCACUGUCCAAUUUACAGUAGCUAUUACAGUGAUAUAAUAUCAUGCUAUUGUUUGAGGACAGUGCACAGUUAUGAACUUGAAAAGUUAUUAAUAAACCAAUUAGGCACAUUUGGGCAGUCUUGAUACAACAUUUUGAUCAGAAAUACAAUGGUUCAUUGUAUCAGUCUAAAACUUUGCACAUACACUGCUACCAUCUAGUGGCCAAAACCUAAAUUCUGCCUGGGCUGGAAUAAUACAUUAUGGCCUUUCCCUGGCAUUUCAAAGAUGGUACAAAACCAAUACAAAAAACCACAUGUUUUUUUCUUUGUAUUAUCUUUUACCAAAUCGAAUGCGUUAUAUUUUCCUACAUUAAUUUCACAUUUCCACAAAUUUCAAAGUGUUUCCUUUGAAAUGGUAUCAAGAAUAUGCAUAUCCUUGCUUCAGCUCCUGAGCUACAGCUAGUUAGAUUUGGAUAUGUCAUUUUAGGCAAAAAUGGAAAAAGUGGCGGAUCCUUAGCAGCGGCACAAUAUAAAGGACACACUCUAGUCCUCUCCGUCACAUUUGUUAAGACGUUUGAAUACUGAAUUUAAGAAAUUUUAGGAUUUAAUAAGGCUUUUAAAUCAGAAAUGUAUUUAAGACUAAUACUUUUUAAGGACCCUUGGACACUUAAAAAUGGCACUAAUAGGACAAGUUAAUGUAACAGCCAACUUACAUGCACAUGGCCUUGUUGUCAUCAAAGUAGCAUGUUCCGCCAUUUAUACACUGGCAUGGAGGGGGCAUGGUGGGUGGAGGGUCAAAUCCUG